Stegodyphus mimosarum is the source of this 73-nucleotide non-coding RNA. NCBI's taxonomy places the organism in Eukaryota, Metazoa, Arthropoda, Arachnida, Araneae, Eresidae. The record is from Rfam.
GCCUUCGUGGUGUAGUGGUCAGCACGCUCGGCGCGUAUUCGAUAGGGCUGUGGUUCGAGUCCCGGCGAGGGCA